UACGAAGGGGGCUAGCGUUGUUCGGAAUUACUGGGCGUAAAGCGCACGUAGGCGGAUAUUUAAGUCGGGGGUGAAAUCCCAGAGCUCAACUCUGGAACUGCCUUUGAUACUGGGUAUCUCGAGUAUGGAAGAGGUGAGUGGAAUUCCGAGUGUAGAGGUGAAAUUCGUAGAUAUUCGGAGGAACACCAGUGGCGAAGGCGGCUCACUGGUCCAUUACUGACGCUGAGGCGCGAGAGCGUGGGGAGCAAACAGG
RNAcentral lists this ribosomal RNA (253 nucleotides) under uncultured bacterium. RNAcentral's name for it is "partial 16S ribosomal RNA". It matches the Rfam family "Bacterial small subunit ribosomal RNA", at positions 524 to 776 of the family's 1533-position model. The record is from RNAcentral.